GAUGAACGCUAGCGAUAGGCUUAACACAUGCAAGUCGAGGGGCAGCAUGGUCUUAGCUUGCUAAGACUGAUGGCGACCGGCGCACGGGUGCGUAACGCGUAUGCAACUUGCCUCACAGAGGGGGAUAACCCGUCGAAAGACGGACUAAUACCGCGUACACUUGGAGGGAGGCAUCUCCCAUCAAGGAAAAGAAAUUCGCUGUGAGAUAGGCAUGCGUCUCAUUAGCUAGUUGGUGAGGUAACGGCUCACCAAGGCAACGAUGGGUAGGGGAACUGAGAGGUUGAACCCCCACACUGGUACUGAGACACGGACCAGACUCCUACGGGAGGCAGCAGUGAGGAAUAUUGGUCAAUGGGCGAGAGCUUGAACCAGCCAAGUCGCGUGAAGGAUGACUGUCUUAUGGAUUGUAAACUUCUUUUGUAGGGGAAUAAAGAACGGUACGUGUACCGUAGUGAAUGUACCCUACGAAUAAGCAUCGGCUAACUCCGUGCCAGCCGCCGCGGUAA
RNAcentral lists this ribosomal RNA (506 nucleotides) under uncultured bacterium. RNAcentral's name for it is "partial 16S ribosomal RNA". It matches the Rfam family "Bacterial small subunit ribosomal RNA", at positions 28 to 523 of the family's 1533-position model. The record is from RNAcentral.